Molecule: ribosomal RNA, 468 nt
Filed under: uncultured bacterium
Lineage: Bacteria
Description: partial 16S ribosomal RNA
Rfam family: Bacterial small subunit ribosomal RNA
Source: RNAcentral
GACGAACGCUGGCGGCGUGCUUAACACAUGCAAGUCGAACGGAAAGGCCCUGCUUUUGUGGGGUGCUCGAGUGGCGAACGGGUGAGUAACACGUGAGUAACCUGCCCUUGACUUUGGGAUAACUUCAGGAAACUGGGGCUAAUACCGGAUAGGAGCUCCUGCUGCAUGGUGGGGGUUGGAAAGUUUCGGCGGUUGGGGAUGGACUCGCGGCUUAUCAGCUUGUUGGUGGGGUAGUGGCUUACCAAGGCUUUGACGGGUAGCCGGCCUGAGAGGGUGACCGGCCACAUGGGGACUAAGAGACGGACCAGACUCCUACGGGAGGCAGCAGGGGGGAAUAUUGCACAAUGGGCGGAAGCCUGAGGCAGCAACGCCGCGUGCGGGAUGACGGCCUUCGGGUUGUAAACCGCUUUCGCCUGUGACGAAGCGUGAGUGACGGUAAUGGGUAAAGAAGCACCGGCUAACUACGUG